This 497-nucleotide ribosomal RNA is filed under the name uncultured bacterium. RNAcentral describes it as "partial 16S ribosomal RNA". It matches the Rfam family "Bacterial small subunit ribosomal RNA", at positions 28 to 507 of the family's 1533-position model. The record is from RNAcentral.
GAUGAACGCUGGCGGCGUGCCUAAUACAUGCAAGUCGAGCGAACAGACGAGGAGCUUGCUCCUCUGACGUUAGCGGCGGACGGGUGAGUAACACGUGGAUAACCUACCUAUAAGACUGGGAUAACUUCGGGAAACCGGAGCUAAUACCGGAUAAUAUAUUGAACCGCAUGGUUCAAUAGUGAAAGACGGUUUUGCUGUCACUUAUAGAUGGAUCCGCGCCGCAUUAGCUAGUUGGUAAGGUAACGGCUUACCAAGGCAACGAUGCGUAGCCGACCUGAGAGGGUGAUCGGCCACACUGGAACUGAGACACGGUCCAGACUCCUACGGGAGGCAGCAGUAGGGAAUCUUCCGCAAUGGGCGAAAGCCUGACGGAGCAACGCCGCGUGAGUGACGAAGGUCUUCGGAUCGUAAAACUCUGUUAUUAGGGAAGAACAAAUGUGUAAGUAACUAUGCACGUCUUGACGGUACCGAAUCAGAAAGCCACGGCUAACUACGUG